This 468-nucleotide ribosomal RNA is filed under the name uncultured bacterium. RNAcentral's name for it is "partial 16S ribosomal RNA". It matches the Rfam family "Bacterial small subunit ribosomal RNA", at positions 28 to 507 of the family's 1533-position model. The record is from RNAcentral.
GACGAACGCUGGCGGCGUGCUUAACACAUGCAAGUCGAACGGAAAGGCCCUGCUUUUGUGGGGUGCUCGAGUGGCGAACGGGUGAGUAACACGUGAGUAACCUGCCCUUGACUUUGGGAUAACUUCAGGAAACUGGGGCUAAUACCGGAUAGGAGCUCCUGCUGCAUGGUGGGGGUUGGAAAGUUUCGGCGGUGGGGGAUGGACUCGCGGGUAAUCAGCUUGUUGGUGGGGUAGUGGCUUACCAAGGCUUUGACGGGUAGCCGGCCUGAGAGGGUGACCGGCCACAUUGGGACUGAGAUACGACCCAGACUCCUACGGGAGGCAGCAGUGGGGAAUAUUGCACAAUGGGCGGAAGCCUGAUGCAGCAACACCGCGUGCGGGAUGACGGCCUUCGGGUUGUAAGCCGCUUUCGCCUGUGACGAAGCGUGAGUGACGGUAAUGGGUAAAGAAGCACCGGCUAACUACGUG